This 74-nucleotide transfer RNA is filed under the name Chitinophagaceae bacterium. RNAcentral describes it as "tRNA-Met". It matches the Rfam family "tRNA". Rfam says of the family: Transfer RNA (tRNA) molecules are approximately 80 nucleotides in length. Their secondary structure includes four short double-helical elements and three loops (D, anti-codon, and T loops). Lineage: Bacteria; Pseudomonadati; Bacteroidota; Chitinophagia; Chitinophagales; Chitinophagaceae. The record is from RNAcentral. RNAcentral also lists the same sequence under 4 other names.
GGGCCCAUAGCUCAGUUGGUUAGAGCAGCGGACUCAUAAUCCGUUGGUCCCAGGUUCGAGUCCUGGUGGGCCCA